AACGAACGCUGGCGGCAGGCCUAACACAUGCAAGUCGAGCGAGGACUUCGGUCCUAGCGGCGGACGGGUGAGUAACGCGUGGGAACGUGCCCUUUGCUUCGGAAUAGCCCUGGGAAACUGGGAGUAAUACCGGAUGAGCCCUUUGGGGGAAAGAUUUAUCGGCGAAGGAUCGGCCCGCGUUGGAUUAGGUAGUUGGUGGGGUAAUGGCCUACCAAGCCGACGAUCCAUAGCUGGUUUGAGAGGAUGAUCAGCCACACUGGGACUGAGACACGGCCCAGACUCCUACGGGAGGCAGCAGUGGGGAAUCGUAGACAAUGGGGGAAACCCUGAUCGAGCCAUGCCGCGUGAGCGAUGAAGGCCUUAGGGUUGUAAAGCUCUUUCAGCUGGGAAGAUAAUGACGGUACCAGCAGAAGAAGCCCCGGCUAACUCCGUG
RNAcentral lists this ribosomal RNA (433 nucleotides) under uncultured bacterium. Its description in RNAcentral is "partial 16S ribosomal RNA". It matches the Rfam family "Bacterial small subunit ribosomal RNA", at positions 29 to 507 of the family's 1533-position model. The record is from RNAcentral.